Molecule: long non-coding RNA, 745 nt
Organism: Aphis gossypii (cotton aphid)
Lineage: Eukaryota; Metazoa; Arthropoda; Insecta; Hemiptera; Aphididae
Exons: 3
Source: RefSeq, a predicted model, not a curated record
AAUCUACUGUUCCAUCUAGAAUAUCAUAAAUAUUUUUUUUUUUUACAUAAUAAAAUAAAUAUUUUUAUUGAUAUUUUAUGUGUAAACACUAUUUAAAUUUUAAACUAUUUUUAAUUGUAACCUAUUGGUUCUUUUUUAAUGUUGUUACAAACCUAUUGUUAUUAUAAACAAAAUUCUUCAUUUAUUUGGCAAAAAUAUUCAUGUUAUUUCCAUUAUGUUUUAGUUAUUAUAUGUUGAUUAUGGAACAAUUAAAGUAGUAUCAAAAACAAAUGUAAGACUUUUAGCAUCACAAUUUGGAGCAUACCCUAUUCCAGCAGUACAUUGUGGUUUGUACAAUUUUAGCAAAUUGAAUUAUCAAAGAGAGAUAAGUGAAUCUUUUGCUGAAAUCAUGUGCUAGAAGCACAAUUUCAUCACCCACAUUUUGAAGAUGAUUCUCAAAAAAUGAAUGUCACAUUAUUUUUGAAUACUGUACACAACAAAAUUAAUAUAAACAAAAAAUGUUUUGAAGUAAUCAUGAAUCAAAUAACACAAAUCCAGAAUAAAUUUAAAGAAUGAUUUGUAGAGUAUUGCAAGGAAAACAAUGGACUUGAGUUUAAAAAGAUAAAAGUAAAGCAACAAGAAAACAAAAAGUUCUUCGUUUACCAGAUACUUUUAUUUUUAUUUUAAAUUAUAUUAUUUAAUGUAUAAUUGCCACUUGAAGUGUAAUUAAGUACAAAUUAUUAUAAAAAUUAAAAGUCCUAAUAUU